UAAUCUCACCCCAGAUUGUUCUGGGUGUGGACUUGGAUGCCGUCGCGUGUCGCGACUCGUCUGGAAUGCCUCAGUGUACCCCGCCCGUUGGCGUAGACAGUGUGAUAAGUAUCUUCACUAUCGAGUCUCCUCGGAGACGCGCUCUCGGACCGGCCCUGCGCUGCCAACCGUCUUCGGACAAUUCUGACAAU
This 191-nucleotide unclassified non-coding RNA is filed under the name uncultured Sebacina. Its description in RNAcentral is "sequence contains ITS2". Lineage: Eukaryota; Fungi; Basidiomycota; Agaricomycetes; Sebacinales; Sebacinaceae. The record is from RNAcentral.